This 74-nucleotide transfer RNA is filed under the name Nanobdellota archaeon. Its description in RNAcentral is "tRNA-His". It matches the Rfam family "tRNA". From Rfam's summary of the family: Transfer RNA (tRNA) molecules are approximately 80 nucleotides in length. The record is from RNAcentral. Lineage: Archaea; Nanobdellati; Nanobdellota.
AUCCGGGUAGUAUAAUUUGGUUAGUAUCCCAGGUUGUGGCCCUGGGGACCCGAGUUCAAAUCUCGGCCCGGAUC